Molecule: ribosomal RNA, 253 nt
Filed under: uncultured bacterium
Lineage: Bacteria
Description: partial 16S ribosomal RNA
Rfam family: Bacterial small subunit ribosomal RNA
Source: RNAcentral
UACAGAGGAGCCAAGCGUUGUCCGGAUUGACUGGGCGUAAAGCGCACGCAGGCGGUUUCGCGCGUGGGGGGUGAAAUCUGGCCGCUUAACGGCCAGGCGCCAUCCCAUACGGCGCGACUGGAGUGAUGCAGAGGUCGAUGGAAUUGCCGGUGUAGUGGUGAAAUGCGUAGAGAUCGGCAGGAACACCCAGGGGGAAACCAGUCGACUGGGCAUCUACUGACGCUGAGGUGCGAGAGCGUGGGGAGCGAACCGG